This 82-nucleotide transfer RNA is filed under the name Morchella steppicola. RNAcentral describes it as "tRNA-Asp". It matches the Rfam family "tRNA". Rfam says of the family: Transfer RNA (tRNA) molecules are approximately 80 nucleotides in length. Their secondary structure includes four short double-helical elements and three loops (D, anti-codon, and T loops). Lineage: Eukaryota; Fungi; Ascomycota; Pezizomycetes; Pezizales; Morchellaceae. RNAcentral also lists the same sequence under 1 other name. The record is from RNAcentral.
UCUUUGGUAGUAUAGUGGUUAGUAUACUCGCUUGUCAUCUAAUGAAACGCGAGUGACCGGGGUUCAAUUCCCCGCCAGAGAG